GGCAGGGACUCGCUGGACUGUGAGGAGAAGCAGUGUGUCCUCACCUUUCCACCUUCCUCUGGCCACAGCUUUAGCUGCUGAAUGAUAACAAGGCUGCCUGCCGAUCUCAUAAGAGGGCAUCUUGGGCAAGGCAAGGAGAAAGGGCUUUGGAGUCUUGAGUUCAAAUCCCGGCUCCCCCAGCUGCUGUGCAACCGUGAUGUAUGACAGCCUCUCUGGGCCUCAGUGUUUGUAUCUGCAAGAUGAGGCUCUGACAUAGACCUGAUUAGGUUAUGGUGAGGAUUACACAAUCCCUGCUUGAAAGGCACCUGGCUUGUUCUGAGUAAACCCUGUGACUCCCUUUAAUUCCUGGUGGGUGGCUUGCUUGUGCCCUCAUGAGGUUCAGCACUUGGCAGUACCCUGUCACCUGUUCAUCAUUAGCAAUGACGGACGCAAUGCUUCCUCUGUGACAAAGCCUCAUCCGACAGAGCAGGACUGCAGGGCUUCUCCAGGGCUUGGGGAGGGGGACAAGGGCAGUGCGCACAGUUCCUUUUUGUUUGCUGAUGCCACACUAGGCACGUGAAAGGGCUGGGUCAGAGAACCCAGCUUGGCCCACGCUGUCUCGGUUGGUGGCCGUCCUCACCUUCCUCACCCUUCAGAUCCCGUAGGGAGCCCCUGCGGUGGUGCCAUGGACGGGAAGCAUCCCACCGUGCUUGUGGCUCACCUCGAGGUCCAGGUGUCACUGCAUGGCCUGAAAAGGACUGUCUCCGAGCAGAACAAGCUCAUGACCAAGAACAAAGAGGACAUCUUGACCGUGUAAGUAAUGAUGACCGCUCUGUCCCCAGCUCAUAGGGACCCUGAGGACUCCAGGUUGCCUCCCUAUGUUGGCUCCUGAUUCAAGCAGAUGGCAGGGGGGUGUGUCCCAAGGAGCUGGGUGCUGAUGUCAGGAGCCCAGCACCCUUGUGGAAGCCAAGAACGACACUGAGGGGGCAAGAAGAGACUGUGAUGAGCUAAGUGAUGGUGUUGUCCCCAGCACGCAACAAGGGCUGGUGCGGCAACUGGCGACCUGAGAGGGAGGGCUGGUCCCAGCAGGGAGGUGUUCAUAGAAGGGAGAGAUUUUCGGUGAGGAGUGGCAGCACAGUCAUUCUCAACCCAGUGUGUCUUGGGAGAUGCCUAUGGGGUGGAAGUUGGAUGAUCAGGCUGUUAUUGGGUCAAUCUGAUUCAAGGAGAGGGAGGAGAGGUGACGUGGCCAGAAGGAGGGCAGGAGGGUGGACAGCAGAGAAUGCAGCCGGCCACCCGGGCCAUCCCCCUUGCCUCCACUCACUCAUCCUUUCCCACCCCUGGGCCGAGGAUGCGUCUCAUUAGGUAGUUUUCAGAUGGGUAAACUGAGGCAGGAGCCAUUCCAGGCCCAGAGAGGAGAGCCAGGAAGGCACGUGUUGUAAUCCCUGGGUUAGUUUUUCAUUCACACACAGGGGAACCUCUCCAGCCCUGCCACUCACUAGUUUUAAGAGGCUCAAGUGUUCUGAUUCCUGGCAGCAGCAACGUGGUAAUGCUUCUUUCUUGUUCCCUCCCUGAUCCCUUCUUCCCUCAUGCUUGAGGGCUUGGCCCCGCUUUUCUCCAUGUAUUUCCACCAGGGUGCCACACUGCCUGGAAUUGCAACCGCUGGGGCCUUGUCCAGUUUAUUAUCUCUCACCACAGGUGCAGGAAGGAGGCAGGGAGCAGGGCUGUGUCGCAGAGCAAGGCCAGGGCAUCCCACCCCACCAUGGCCGCCCAUCCCCAUGGCCUCCCUCAAGAUCAGGAAACUGCUCCACAUUGCAGUAACUAAGUGCACCAGGCGUGGCUGCUGGUGAGGGGUGGUCAGGCAGCACCUGUGGCCAGCCUAAAGGAAGGUCAAGGUUUGUGAAGGCAUCUGGUGCCUCCCCUGUUGAAAUUUCUUUUUCUCCUCCUUAUUAGUUGAAUCUUAAGAAUUGACAGUACCAUAAAACGUGAAACCUUUAUUUCUGCUUUUUAAAUGGAAAACCGGGCUGGGCACAGCGGCUCAUGCCUAUAAUCCCAGCACUUUGGGAGGCUGAGGUGGGCAGAUCGGCUGAGGUCAGGAGUUCAAGAUCAGCCUGGCCAACAUGGUGAAACCCCAUCUCUACUAAAAAUACAAAAAUUAGCCAGGCAUGGUGGCACAUGCCUGUAACCCCAGCUACUCAGGAGGCUGAGGCAGGAGAAUCGCUUAAACCCAGGAGGCGGAGGUUGCAGUGAGACGAGAUUGCGCCAUUGCACUCCAGCCUGGGUGGCAGAGUGAGACUCCACCUCAAAAAAAAGAAAAAAGGAAAACCAAGCAAAAGUCACUGUCAGGGGACCUCCCACCCACCAUACAGGGGAACACUCGGCAGAGCCAGAGGCCUGGGCCCAAGUCCUGCCACCAGCUGGCUGUGAAACUGUGGUACAGCACCUUGUGUCCUGCCACCAGCCGGCUGUGAAACUGGUACAGCACCUUGUCCUCAGGUCCUUGGUUUCCUCACUUGUAAAUUCAUGGUUCUCCAUGGCAUCUCUGGUCUUCAACAUUAUUUUGCAUAGAGUCUCAGAAGCUUUAGUGUGAGCGGAUGAUAUGGGCACGAAGCAAGGCACCCAGAAGUGGGGGCAACUACUCUGCUUUCUAAAAUGCAAGGGAACCGGAAAAUCCAGGAGCCGUGCCAAAUGAGAAGAGGAACAAAUGGAGGAACAUCCCAGUCAAGUGACAUUCCUAGUGACAUUCACCAGAACAGAGUCAAGCUUUGGAUCCCAUGUUCUGUGACUUCCUCUUCACCACGCUUCCUCCACACACGUAGCAGCUCAAGGGUUUCUGAUGAGUGGGGCAAGAACUUCGUUCUGGACAUGCCACCAGUCCUUCACCCAGCUUCUAGGAAGCACUGCAGUAGACUAUAACAGGGAACCCCCAAACAGCCCAUCUGGAAUGCACCUUCCCAAUAGCUGCUGCUGAAGGACCACACCCAGGAAUCGAUGUUAAUACCAUGAUUCUGCCUGGUAUUAAAGCAUUAAAGCUGGGCUCCUGGUGAGGCCAGUGCAAUCCAUUGGCUGGCCAGUGUCCACUGAACCUCUCCUUUCCGAAUCUGAGCAAGUGACCAAAGCUGUAUUUAGACUGGAGAACAGUUGCACGGGAAGGUCAUGAGGGGUUGGGAUAAUCAUCUGGGGACAUAAACAAGCUAGAAAGGCAGGGGAACAGGCCAAAUCUGCAGAAAGAGAUCCAGGUAAGAAACCACAUGGCCCCAGAGGAGGCAAAAAAAACAACUGGAAGCACAGCUGCCUCAACACCUUCCCAGAUCUAAUCUUGUUUCCUAUGAGGCCCCUUGUAUUUCCAUUGUGUGUCAGUGAGAUGUGCCUCUGCCUUUUCAUAACCCCCUUAG
RNAcentral lists this long non-coding RNA (3371 nucleotides) under Homo sapiens (human). RNAcentral's name for it is "HSALNT0100742". The record is from RNAcentral. Lineage: Eukaryota; Metazoa; Chordata; Mammalia; Primates; Hominidae.